Molecule: transfer RNA, 65 nt
Filed under: Neotermes koshunensis
Lineage: Eukaryota; Metazoa; Arthropoda; Insecta; Blattodea; Kalotermitidae
Description: tRNA-Pro
Rfam family: tRNA
About the family: Transfer RNA (tRNA) molecules are approximately 80 nucleotides in length.
Source: RNAcentral
CAGGGGGUAGUUUAAUUUAAAAUGUUAACUUUGGAGGUUAAUGAUAGGAGUUUUCUUUUCCCUGA